This 497-nucleotide ribosomal RNA is filed under the name uncultured bacterium. RNAcentral describes it as "partial 16S ribosomal RNA". It matches the Rfam family "Bacterial small subunit ribosomal RNA", at positions 28 to 507 of the family's 1533-position model. The record is from RNAcentral.
GAUGAACGCUGGCGGCGUGCCUAAUACAUGCAAGUCGAGCGAACAGACGAGGAGCUUGCGCCUUUGACGUUAGCGGCGGACGGGUGAGUAACACGUAGGUAACCUACCUAUAAGACUGGGAUAACUUCGGGAAACCGGAGCUAAUACCGGAUAAUAUUCCGAACCGCAUGGUUCGAUAGUGAAAGAUGGCUUUGCUAUCACUUAUAGAUGGACCUGCGCCGUAUUAGCUAGUUGGUAAGGUAACGGCUUACCAAGGCAACGAUACGUAGCCGACCUGAGAGGGUGAUCGGCCACACUGGAACUGAGACACGGUCCAGACUCCUACGGGAGGCAGCAGUAGGGAAUCUUCCGCAAUGGGCGAAAGCCUGACGCAGCAACGCCGCGUGAGUGAUGAAGGUCUUCGGAUCGUAAAGCUCUGUUAUUAGGGAAGAACAACCGUGUAAGUAACUGUGCACGUCUUGACGGUACCUAAACAGAAAGCAACGGCUAACUACGUG